RNAcentral lists this ribosomal RNA (253 nucleotides) under uncultured bacterium. RNAcentral describes it as "partial 16S ribosomal RNA". It matches the Rfam family "Bacterial small subunit ribosomal RNA", at positions 524 to 776 of the family's 1533-position model. The record is from RNAcentral.
UACAGAGGUGGCAAACGUUGUCCGGAUUUAUUGGGUGUAAAGGGCAUGUAGGCGGUCUUGUAAGUCAAAGGUGAAAUGUCCCGGCUCAACCAGGUCAUUGCCUUUGAAACUGCAGGGCUUGAGUACGGCAGAGGAGAGCGGAAUUCCCAGUGUAGCGGUGAAACGCGUAGAUAUUGGGAGGAACACCGGUGGCGAAGGCGGCUCUCUGGUCCGAAACUGACGCUGAGAUGCGAAAGCCAGGGGAGCAAACGGG